GACGAACGCUGGCGGCGCGCCUAACACAUGCAAGUCGAACGAGAGAGAAGGAGCUUGCUUCUUCGAUCGAGUGGCGAACGGGUGGGUAACGCGUGAGUAACCUGCCCUGGAGUGGGGGACAACAGUUGGAAACGACUGCUAAUACCGCAUAAGCCCACGGCCCGGCAUCGGGCUGAGGGAAAAGGAUUUAUUCGCUUCAGGAUGGACUCGCGUCCAAUUAGCUAGUUGGUGAGGUAACGGCCCACCAAGGCGACGAUUGGUAGCCGGACUGAGAGGUUGAACGGCCACAUUGGGACUGAGACACGGCCCAGACUCCUACGGGAGGCAGCAGUGGGGGAUAUUGCACAAUGGGGGAAACCCUGAUGCAGCGACGCCGCGUGGAGGAAGAAGGUUUUCGGAUUGUAAACUCCUGUCGUUAGGGACGAUAAUGACGGU
RNAcentral lists this ribosomal RNA (435 nucleotides) under uncultured bacterium. Its description in RNAcentral is "bacterial SSU rRNA". It matches the Rfam family "Bacterial small subunit ribosomal RNA", at positions 28 to 458 of the family's 1533-position model. The record is from RNAcentral.